Molecule: ribosomal RNA, 1235 nt
Filed under: Candidatus Phytoplasma citri
Lineage: Bacteria; Bacillati; Mycoplasmatota; Mollicutes; Acholeplasmatales; Acholeplasmataceae
Description: bacterial SSU rRNA
Rfam family: Bacterial small subunit ribosomal RNA
Source: RNAcentral
GGUGCAGUGGCUAAGACUGGAUAGGAAGAAAUAAGGCAUCUUAUAUCUUUUAACAGACCUAGUAAUAGGUAUACUUUAGGAGGGGCUUGCGCCAUAUUACUUAGUUGGUAGGGUAAUGGCCUACCAAGACGAUGAUGUGUAGCUGGACUGAGAGGUUGAACAGCCACAUUGGGACUGAGACACGGCCCAAACUCCUACGGGAGGCAGCAGUAGGGAAUUUUCGGCAAUGGAGGAAACUCUGACCGAGCAACGCCGCGUGAACGACGAAGUACUUUGGUAUGUAAAGUUCUUUUAUCAAGGAAGAAAAGCAAAUGGCGAACCAUUUGUUUGCCGGUACUUGAUGAAUAAGCCCCGGCUAAUUAUGUGCCAGCAGCCGCGGUAAGACAUAAGGGGCAAGUGUUAUCCGGAAUUAUUGGGCGUAAAGGGUGCGUAGGCGGUCUAGUAAGUCAGUGGUGUAAUGGCAACGCUCAACGUUGUCCGGCUAUUGAAACUGCUAAACUUGAGUUAGAUAGAGGCGAGUGGAAUUCCAUGUGUAGCGGUAAAAUGCGUAAAUAUAUGGAGGAACACCAGAGGCGUAGGCGGCUCGCUGGGUCUUAACUGACGCUGAGGCACGAAAGCGUGGGGAGCAAACAGGAUUAGAUACCCUGGUAGUCCACGCCGUAAACGAUGAGUACUAAGUGUCGGGUUAAACCGGUACUGAAGUUAACACAUUAAGUACUCCGCCUGAGUAGUACGUACGCAAGUAUGAAACUUAAAGGAAUUGACGGGACUCCGCACAAGCGGUGGAUCAUGUUGUUUAAUUCGAAGAUACCCGAAAAACCUUACCAGGUCUUGACAUGUUUUUGCAAAAUGAUAGUAAUAUCGUGGAGGUUACCAGAAACACAGGUGGUGCAUGGUUGUCGUCAGCUCGUGUCGUGAGAUGUUAGGUUAAGUCCUAAAACGAGCGAAACCCUUAUCGUUAGUUGCCAGCACGUUAUGGUGGGGACUUUAACGAGACUGCCAAUGAUAAACUGGAGGAAGGUGAGGAUCACGUCAAAUCAGCAUGCCCCUUAUGACCUGGGCUACAAACGUGAUACAAUGGCUGUUACAAAGGGUAGCUGAAACGCAAGUUCUUGGCCAAUCCCCAAAAACAGUCCCAGUCCGGAUUGAAGUCUGCAACUCGACUUCAUGAAGUUGGAAUCGCUAGCAAUCGCGAAUCAGCAUGUCGCGGUGAAUACGUUCUCGGGGUUAGCACG